Molecule: transfer RNA, 74 nt
Filed under: Bradyrhizobium hipponense
Lineage: Bacteria; Pseudomonadati; Pseudomonadota; Alphaproteobacteria; Hyphomicrobiales; Nitrobacteraceae
Description: Bradyrhizobium sp. aSej3 tRNA-Cys
Rfam family: tRNA
About the family: Transfer RNA (tRNA) molecules are approximately 80 nucleotides in length.
Source: RNAcentral
GACGCGGUGGCCGAGCGGCCAGGCAGCAGAUUGCAACCCUGCGGAGGCUGGUUCGACUCCAGCCCGCGUCUCCA